UGAAAGACCUUGAACAGGAAAAUAGUGGAUGGCAGUACAAAGAGAUCGGGUCCUCCGGCUGAAAGACCCGAAACGAAAAUCCAUGAAAAACCACCUGGGAGUCUCCUGCGAAGACUUAUCGUAUAAGCAUGGACGUUUGCCGCGUUAAGGCGUUUUGAGUGGAAGGCAGCGAUGCCUUCAAUCAGGGUGGAACCGCGACGACUCGUCCCUUUU
Molecule: non-coding RNA, 213 nt
Filed under: Youngiibacter fragilis
Lineage: Bacteria; Bacillati; Bacillota; Clostridia; Eubacteriales; Clostridiaceae
Description: T-box sequence
Rfam family: T-box leader
About the family: Uncharged tRNA acts as the effector for transcription antitermination of genes in the T-box leader family. T-boxes are found upstream of many aminoacyl-tRNA synthetase genes and some amino acid biosynthetic genes usually in Gram-positive bacteria.
Source: RNAcentral